Molecule: ribosomal RNA, 475 nt
Filed under: Chromis xanthura (paletail chromis)
Lineage: Eukaryota; Metazoa; Chordata; Actinopteri; Pomacentridae
Description: partial small subunit ribosomal RNA
Rfam family: Bacterial small subunit ribosomal RNA
Source: RNAcentral
CAUUAUGCUCAGCCCUAAACUUUGAUAGACCAUUACACCCACUAUCCGCCCGGGUACUACGAGCAUUAGCUUGAAACCCAAAGGACUUGGCGGUGCUUAACAUCCACCUAGAGGAGCCUGUUCUAGAACCGAUAACCCCCGUUAAACCUCACCCUCUCUUGUUUUUUCCGCCUAUAUACCGCCGUCGUCAGCUUACCCUGUGAAGGAUCCAUAGUAAGCACAAUUGGUAAGACCCAAAACGUCAGGUCGAGGUGUAGCUUAUGAGAGGGGAAGAAAUGGGCUACAUUUCCUGACCCAGGAAACACGGAUAAUGUUCUGAAACGGACAUUAGAAGGAGGAUUUAGUAGUAAGCAGGAAGCAGAGCGUUCCGCUGAAACCGGCCCUAAAGCGCGCACACACCGCCCGUCACUCUCCCCGAGCUAACAUAAAGCACGUUCCUAAAACCCCACACCUGCAAAGGGGAGGCAAGUCGUAA